ACGGCUACCUUGUUACGACUUAGCCCCAGUCACCAGUUUUACCUUAGGGCGCUCCUUGCGGUUGCACACUUCAGGCACUCCCGGCUUCCAUGGCUUGACGGGCGGUGUGUACAAGGCCCGGGAACGUAUUCACCGCGCCAUGGCUGAUGCGCGAUUACUAGCGAAUCCAGCUUCAUGGAGUCGAGUUGCAGACUCCAAUCCGAACUGAGACAGGCUUUCAAGUUCCGCUUUGCGUCGCCGCAUUGCUUCUCUCUGUACCUGCCAUUGUAACACGUGUGUCGCCCCGGACGUAAGGGCCGUGCUGAUUUGACGUCAUCCCCGCCUUCCUCACAGCUUGCGCCGGCAGUCUCGCCAGAGUCCCCAACUUGACUUGCUGGUAACUGGCGAUGGGGGUUGCGCUCGUUAUGGCACUUAAGCCGACACCUCACGGCACGAGCUGACGACAACCAUGCAGCACCUCGACACAGGCUCCUAAGAGCUACCUCCUUUCAAAAGUAUUCCUGUGUCGUUUG
Molecule: ribosomal RNA, 512 nt
Filed under: uncultured bacterium
Lineage: Bacteria
Description: partial 16S ribosomal RNA
Source: RNAcentral